AACGAACGCUGGCGGCAUGCCUAACACAUGCAAGUCGAACGAGACCUUCGGGUCUAGUGGCGCACGGGUGCGUAACGCGUGGGAACCUGCCCUUAGGUUCGGAAUAACUCCCCGAAAGGGGUGCUAAUACCGGAUAAUGUCUUCGGACCAAAGAUUUAUCGCCUUUGGAUGGGCCCGCGUUGGAUUGGCUAGUUGGUAGGGUAAAAGCCUACCAAGGCGACGAUCCAUAGCUGGUCUGAGAGGAUGAUCAGCCACACUGGGACGGAGCCACGGCCCAGACUACUACGGGAGGGAGGAGUGGGGAAUAUUGGAAAGUGGGCGAAAGCCUGAUCGAGCAAUGCCGCGUGAGUGAUGAAGGCCUUGGGGUUGUAAAGCACUUUUACCCGGGAUGAUAAUGACGGUACCGGGAGAAUAAGCACCGGCUAACUCCGUG
Molecule: ribosomal RNA, 433 nt
Filed under: uncultured bacterium
Lineage: Bacteria
Description: partial 16S ribosomal RNA
Rfam family: Bacterial small subunit ribosomal RNA
Source: RNAcentral